This 118-nucleotide ribosomal RNA is filed under the name Pteropus alecto (black flying fox). Lineage: Eukaryota; Metazoa; Chordata; Mammalia; Chiroptera; Pteropodidae. The record is from RNAcentral.
GUCUACAGCCAUGCUACCCUGAACAUGCCCGAUACCAUCUGAUCUCGGAAGCUAAGAAUGGUCGGGCCAGGUUAAUAGUUGGAUUGGAGACCACCUGGAAGUACAGGGGCUGUAGGCA